GACGAACGCUGGCGGCGUGCUUAACACAUGCAAGUCGAACGGUGAAGCGCCUUCCUUUUUGGUGGGUGUGGAUGAGUGGCGAACGGGUGAGUAACACGUGAGUAACCUGCCCCCUUCUUCUGGAUAACCGCAUGAAAGUGUGGCUAAUACGGGAUAUUCUGGGUCUGUCGCAUGAUGGGUCUGGGAAAGAUAUUGUUUCGGUGGGGGAUGGGCUCGCGGCCUAUCAGCUUGUUGGUGGGGUGAUGGCCUACCAAGGCGGUGACGGGUAGCCGGCCUGAGAGGGUGGACGGUCCCACUGGGACUGAGACACGGCCCAGACUCCGACGGGAGGCAGCAGGGGGGAAUAUUGCACAAUGGGCGCAAGCCUGAUGCAGCGACGCCGCGUGAGGGAUGGAGGCCUUCGGGUUGUGAACCUCUUUCGCCAGUGAAGCAGGCCUGCCUCGUUUGUGGGUGGGUUGACGGUAGCUGGAGAAGAAGCGCCGGCUAACUACGUG
RNAcentral lists this ribosomal RNA (494 nucleotides) under uncultured bacterium. Its description in RNAcentral is "partial 16S ribosomal RNA". It matches the Rfam family "Bacterial small subunit ribosomal RNA", at positions 28 to 507 of the family's 1533-position model. The record is from RNAcentral.